GUGUAGCCGCCAGAGGAUGGGUGUCAUUGAUGUUGAUAUAAUGGAAUAGUUAUUCUGCUGCGCU
Molecule: transfer RNA, 64 nt
Filed under: Oreohelix idahoensis
Lineage: Eukaryota; Metazoa; Mollusca; Gastropoda; Stylommatophora; Oreohelicidae
Description: tRNA-Ile
Source: RNAcentral